Molecule: ribosomal RNA, 252 nt
Filed under: bacterium
Lineage: Bacteria
Also listed under: 1 other name
Description: partial 16S ribosomal RNA
Rfam family: Bacterial small subunit ribosomal RNA
Source: RNAcentral
UACGUAGGGGGCAAGCGUUAUCCGGAAUUACUGGGCGUAAAGGGUGCGUAGGUGGCCUGACAAGUCAGGGGUCAAAGGCAACGGCUCAACCGUUGUAAGCCCUUGAAACUGUCGGGCUUGAGUUCAGGAGAGGAAAGCGGAAUUCCAAGUGUAGCGGUGAAAUGCGUAGAUAUUUGGAGGAACACCAGUGGCGAAGGCGGCUUUCUGGACUGAUACUGACACUGAGGCACGAAAGCGUGGGGAGCAAACAGG